RNAcentral lists this transfer RNA (87 nucleotides) under Limnobacter sp. RNAcentral's name for it is "tRNA-Leu". It matches the Rfam family "tRNA". Rfam says of the family: Transfer RNA (tRNA) molecules are approximately 80 nucleotides in length. Their secondary structure includes four short double-helical elements and three loops (D, anti-codon, and T loops). Further hydrogen bonds mediate the characteristic L-shaped molecular structure. tRNAs have two regions of fundamental functional importance: the anti-codon, which is responsible for specific mRNA codon recognition, and the 3' end, to which the tRNAs corresponding amino acid is attached (by aminoacyl-tRNA synthetases). tRNAs cope with the degeneracy of the genetic code in two manners: having more than one tRNA (with a specific anti-codon) for a particular amino acid; and 'wobble' base-pairing, i.e. permitting non-standard base-pairing at the 3rd anti-codon position. Lineage: Bacteria; Pseudomonadati; Pseudomonadota; Betaproteobacteria; Burkholderiales; Burkholderiaceae. RNAcentral also lists the same sequence under 2 other names. The record is from RNAcentral.
GCCGAGGUGGCGGAAUUGGUAGACGCGCUGGACUCAAAAUCCAGUGGUAGGAAUAUCGUGCGGGUUCGAUUCCCGCCCUCGGCACCA